This 212-nucleotide ribosomal RNA is filed under the name uncultured bacterium. RNAcentral describes it as "partial 16S ribosomal RNA". It matches the Rfam family "Bacterial small subunit ribosomal RNA", at positions 118 to 331 of the family's 1533-position model. The record is from RNAcentral.
UGAGCAAUCUGCCCUUCACAUCGGAAUAACCAUUAGAAACGAUGGCUAAUACCGAAUAUGACUUCGGAUCGCAUGAUCUGAAGUGGAAAGCUCCGGCGGUGAAGGAUGAGCUCGCGGCCUAUCAGCUUGUUGGUGAGGUAAUAGCUCACCAAGGCGAUGACGGGUAGCCGGCCUGAGAGGGUGACCGGCCACACUGGGACUGAGACACGGCA